UGGGAGUUGAGAAGGACGAACAAUGGCAAACCUGUAAUUUCAAUAUUUAUUUGGGGCAGAUUAGUAACUACAAUUACACCUAUCCCUUAUAUACGUUUUCUUCGUUCAUAUCAAUGGAUUCUAGAAUCCACUCCACAGCUCUAUACUCCAGAGCUCAUACAGACAUCACUUUGUUUCCAUUGCUUCUCUGCUUCUGGGUUUCUUAACUGGUCAUCAUUUUCAUAUUUCUCUGCUUUGGUUCGAUUUUGUCUUGUGUGGUUGUAUUUCUGAGUUGUGGUAAGGUUUUUCCUUUUUUUCUUUAUUAUUUAUCGCACUUGCCCUAUUCCCUGCUUGUCAACUAGAAUAGAACUAUAUUAAAGAAAAGUUUUUUUCUUGUGUGUGCUUGGAGUAUAUGCAUUUAUAUACCUCUUUGGCUCUUCUUUCUUUGCUUGGCUUUCUUCAAUUCAACCAGACCAUAUUUUUCUUAAUUAAUGCUUGCCGGUUUUAUUGUUUUUCAUGUUUCAUACUUCUGUUACUUUUGGGUUUCUAAUUUUCUUUAUGUAUGCCUUUCCCAGUUUGAUUUUUGGUGGUUCCGGCAGCCUAGGCAUUUCUGGGUGAUUGUGAUUGGCUCUUUUUCAGGUACAUAAUUAUGAUGGUUUUCUCCUUCUUCUUCCUUGGUUGUUUUCCAUUUUCCUCUUUUCCCUCUUUUUAGUUCGUUUUCUGUUAAGACUACUUUGUAAUUCUCGAGUGUUCCAUAUAAUUAAAUUCUUUUACUUUAUAUUUUAAUUAAGGAUUUUGAGAUUUUAACCUAAAAUUUAUAAUUGGGGGGUUUAUAGAAUUCAAUCGAUCUCCAAAUGCACAUAGUGAUUUUGGAGUUCAAAGGGAAACAAUGGGCGAAGACUAUAAUAAAGAUGUUUGAUAGUGCUAUGAGCGGCUCAUACAGAUAUUAGAGAGUUAAGUAAUUGAAUUUGAGAAAGCUAUAAGAAUUUCUGUGGAAGCUUUUGUCUUUCGUAUCGAUGGUGAUGAUAUUUCAUUUAUUGGGAUUUCAAUAUUAGUUGUUGCUAAUUCUCCUCUUUUUCUUUUUGUUGACUGCUAUCAGGUUACAUUUUGUUUGAACGGUAAGUGGUGAUCAAAUCUUACACUUUUUCAUUUUCGACAUUCUUAGUAUAUCACAAUUGUGACGCCGAGCUUCAUUGAAAAUAUUUGUCUCAUUUGUUGUAUCUCAAUGGUUUUCUCUGUUGCUAUAGUUCUUCUAUGUGCUUUUAUUUUUGGGUGCAUGUUGGUUCUCUGCCUUUUUUCUAGACAAUUCCACUUAUGAAUUUUUUCUUCACAGUUUAUAAUAAUGAUCUGGCUGUGGUAUGAGUUUUCAAUUAAGUAGACAAUUGAUUGUUCCUUCUAACUUGGCAUGCAUGUCCCUUCUACUUGAUUUUCCUAGAGUUAAAUGGUUGAAUUCUUUGUUACCUGGGAGAGAGAAAGUGAAAUAAGUUUAUGUUGAGAAGAGUUGUUUUGUAGUUUCUGAGUAUUGAGAAUAGUUUUUUUAUAAGGUAAAUUGUAUUAAUUAAAAGGGAGAAAAAACUCCCGUAUACAAGAAGUAUACCAAAAAGUAGAGAACAGUAUUGAGAGUAGUUUUACGAAGUAACUGGUUUACUCUUGAACUUAAAAGAAAAUGCAGAAAUUCAUUUGAUCUCAAAUAUUUCAAAUGCACUAGAUACCUUGCUGAAAUGCUGAAUGAUUAUGCUACUAAGUUAUGUUUGAAGGACAGUAAAGUUAAAAAAGGAAGUAAAGCUCUAAUGGUGAAAUGAUAGGACUGGGAUAGAAUUUGUUGCUGGUGUAGAAUUUGGAAAGUUGGAAAGAUUUGUUGCUGGUGUAGAAUUUGCUGCUACUGCGCUCUGCAUGCCUACGGACACUGAGUGAUAUUUUUUUAAAUAUUUUUGUUGUUGUUGCUUCCUGAUUUUGUUUUGAAAGUAUAGUAAGUUGAAAUUCAUUAGGUUAGAUCUGUAUAUGUACAAUUAAAUUACUGAGGGAAGUGAGUUGAGCUUCUAAGCGAGAUGGGUAAGUGGACGAUGUUCAUUGAUCUAAGGAACAACCAAUGUUUGGAAGAUGCUGCUACGUGCAAUACACGUACUAGAAUGCAAUGUCUGCACCUGUUAGCUUUCUGGACUAACUUACAAGAUGUAUGCAACUUAGACUACGCUUUGUGUUAUGAGUUCAUUAUACCAUUCAGGAAUUCUAGGACUCAUUGUUGUUUCCCCAUCUUUUGUAACCUUUUUGAUCCAAAAUAUGUGCAUACCAGCACCUAUUUGAUGUUAAUUAAUAGUUCUUGAUUUCUUAUUAAAAAAAAAUAAGUUUUUGAGUUUACUAUUGUAGUGUUGGGCCCGUAUACCCGUUUUUGUGUCACAUUUUAACUUGUGUCUGCUUUGCAAAAAAAAUUGCAAGCGUACCCGCUUUUUCGCAUAACUUCAGCAUACGGGGCUGAAGUAGCAAAGACAAUCACGCAAAACUUCAGCAUCAUUUUAGUAGACGGCCCUGAAGUAGCAAGUGUGCUGAAGUUUUUGUUUUUGUAACUGACGAACUUCAUGUUACAUCCUGCAAUAUUACGUCAAUAUUAUGUCCCGCAGUAUUAUAUUACGACAAUGUUAUGUUAUGUGGUAAUAAGUUACGACGGUGUUGCACCCUACAAUAUUUUACAUUGAAUUUGUUGUAAGAUAAUUGACAUCAAUCCAAGGAAAAGAUUAUUUGGGAAUUAUAAGGAUUAUACUAUUUUACAAGUGAUUAGUAAAUUCAUGAAGGUGAAACGGGGAGCAAGUCUAAGAAAACAAAUUUUGUCAAAGUUUGGUAUUUUGGAAUAAAAUACGGCCCGAGUUAAAAUACCCGAUAUUUAUGAACUAGUACCAUACAAGGUACUACAUGGCCAUGCUACUAAGGUGUACAAGGUAUGUUAAAAGAGAGUAAUCUUUUAAGUAAGUGGGAAUAAUUUUCAAAUUUUGCUGGUAAUUGAUUAACUACCGGGUAACGAGACAUUAUCUAAUUAAUUAGUAUUAAGUGGAUAAAUAUCCUUUUUGGGCUGCCGUUUGGCACUAAUGUAAGCCAAAGUGGAAACAAAAUCUUGAUGAGUCAUUAGGCAUGAGAUUCCCUAUCUACACGUACAAAUCUUGAAAAUUGAAAAGCAAGACAAAAUCAUUUUCUUUGGUCUCUUUAUCAAUUUGCUUUUGACUUUAGAUGCCAAGAAUAAUUAAAAAGCAGAAGCAUUUCCAUUUUCAAACAAAAGCUUCAAUUGAAGCAAUUUUCGUCCAAAUUUUUAGAAAAAUCAGGCCAAUUUCGUUCCACAAGUUUGAAAACGCAGAAGCCUAAAUCUAAUUUUUGGGUCUAAGUUCACUCCACAAAGGUUUCCAACGGGAUAAAUAUACGGAAUUGUUCCUACUCCAAGUAUGUUAAGGCUAUGUCCUUUCUUCAUUCUGGCAUGAUCUGUACGAUACAAACUAAACGAGCAACAUAGUCCAUUUCCAUCCGUACUGCAUUUUUAAUAAAGGUUAUCUACUUGCACAUAUGAAGACAUUGGCUUUGAAAUUUAUUCUGUUCGUUUUCUCUUGGAGUUCCACUAUGUCUUAUGGCCUUUGGUACAUGAUUUGUUGUAAGAGAUUUCCAUUGCAUCUAUUAUGCUUGUCUCAUGGACAUAGUUUAAUAGCAAUUUGUGUGGUCCAAUCUAUUUAGGAUCACAACUUAGCCAUGACAAUGAUCAGAUACUAAGGUAUCUAAUAUAUUUUUGAAGA
This 3749-nucleotide long non-coding RNA is filed under the name Nicotiana tabacum (common tobacco). RNAcentral's name for it is "long non-coding RNA (NTAB_LNC009897)". Lineage: Eukaryota; Viridiplantae; Streptophyta; Magnoliopsida; Solanales; Solanaceae. The record is from RNAcentral.